This is an unclassified non-coding RNA of Macaca fascicularis (crab-eating macaque), 148 nucleotides long. It matches the Rfam family "Metazoan signal recognition particle RNA". From Rfam's summary of the family: The signal recognition particle (SRP) is a universally conserved ribonucleoprotein. It is involved in the co-translational targeting of proteins to membranes. The record is from Ensembl. Lineage: Eukaryota; Metazoa; Chordata; Mammalia; Primates; Cercopithecidae.
GCCAGGUGUGGUGGCACACACCUGUAAUCCCAGCUACUUGGGAGGCUGAGGUAGGAGGAUUGCUUGAGCCCAGGGUGUCAAAGCUGCAGUGAGACAUGAUCAUGCCACUACACUCCAGCCUGGGCAACAGAGUGAGAUCCUGUCUCAA